Molecule: ribosomal RNA, 253 nt
Filed under: uncultured bacterium
Lineage: Bacteria
Also listed under: 1 other name
Description: partial 16S ribosomal RNA
Rfam family: Bacterial small subunit ribosomal RNA
Source: RNAcentral
UACGGAGGGUGCAAGCGUUAUCCGGAUUCACUGGGUUUAAAGGGUGCGUAGGAGGGCAGGUAAGUCAGUGGUGAAAUCUCCGAGCUUAACUUGGAAACUGCCAUUGAUACUAUCUGUCUUGAAUAUUGUGGAGGUGAGCGGAAUAUGUCAUGUAGCGGUGAAAUGCUUAGAUAUGACAUAGAACACCAAUUGCGAAGGCAGCUCGCUACACAUAUAUUGACUCUGAGGCACGAAAGCGUGGGGAUCAAACAGG